UUAGGAAUCUUCCCCAAUGGGCGAAAGCCUGAGGGAGCGACGCCGCGUGAGGGAUGAAGGCCUUUGGGUUGUAAACCUCUGAACGAAGGACGAAAGCCCCGCAAGGGGGAUGACGGUACUUCGGUAAUAGCACCGGCUAACUCCGUGCCAGCAGCCGCGGUAAUACGGAGGGUGCGAGCGUUACCCGGAAUCACUGGGCGUAAAGGGCGUGUAGGCGGUUCACUAAGUCUGGCUUUAAAGACCGGAGCUCAACUCCGGGCCUGGGUUGGAUACUGGUGAGCUUGACGGCUGGAGGGGAGGGUGGAAUUCUCGGUGUAGCGGUGGAAUGCGUAGAUACCGAGAGGAACACCAGUGGCGAAGGCGGCCCUCUGGACAGUGCGUGACGCUGAGGCGCGAAAGUGUGGGGAGCGAACCGGAUUAGAUACCCGGGUAGUCCACACCCUAAACGAUGUGUGUUGGGUGCUUGCCCGUUGGGGUGGGUGCCGAAGCUAACGCGAUAAACACACCGCCUGGGAAGUACGGCCGCAAGGUUGAAACUUAAAGGAAUUGACGGGGGUCAUAGCUGUUUCCU
This 571-nucleotide ribosomal RNA is filed under the name uncultured bacterium. RNAcentral's name for it is "partial 16S ribosomal RNA". It matches the Rfam family "Bacterial small subunit ribosomal RNA", at positions 355 to 938 of the family's 1533-position model. The record is from RNAcentral.